AGUGAACGCUGGCGGUAGGCCUAACACAUGCAAGUCGAACGGCAGCACAGUAAGAGCUUGCUCUUACGGGUGGCGAGUGGCGGACGGGUGAGUAAUACAUCGGAAUCUACUUUUUCGUGGGGGAUAACGUAGGGAAACUUACGCUAAUACCGCAUACGACCUACGGGUGAAAGCAGGGGAUCUUCGGACCUUGCGCGAUUGAAUGAGCCGAUGUCGGAUUAGCUAGUUGGCGGGGUAAAGGCCCACCAAGGCGACGAUCCGUAGCUGGUCUGAGAGGAUGAUCAGCCACACUGGAACUGAGACACGGUCCAGACUCCUACGGGAGGCAGCAGUGGGGAAUAUUGGACAAUGGGCGCAAGCCUGAUCCAGCCAUACCGCGUGGGUGAAGAAGGCCUUCGGGUUGUAAAGCCCUUUUGUUGGGAAAGAAAAGCAGCAGGUUAAUACCCCGCUGUUCUGACGGUACCCAAAGAAUAAGCACCGGCUAACUUCGUG
This 492-nucleotide ribosomal RNA is filed under the name uncultured bacterium. RNAcentral describes it as "partial 16S ribosomal RNA". It matches the Rfam family "Bacterial small subunit ribosomal RNA", at positions 29 to 507 of the family's 1533-position model. The record is from RNAcentral.